AGAGUUUGAUCCUGGCUCAGGACGAACGCUGGCGGCGCGCCUAACACAUGCAAGUCGAACGAGCGAGAGAGAGCUUGCUUUCUCAAGCGAGUGGCGAACGGGUGAGUAACGCGUGAGGAACCUGCCUCAAAGAGGGGGACAACAGUUGGAAACGACUGCUAAUACCGCAUAAGCCCACGGGUCGGCAUCGACCAGAGGGAAAAGGAGCAAUCCGCUUUGAGAUGGCCUCGCGUCCGAUUAGCUAGUUGGUGAGGUAAUGGGCCCACCAAGGCAACGAUCGGUAGCCGGACUGAGAGGUUGAACGGCCACAUUGGGACUGAGACACGGCCCAGACUCCUACGGGAGGCA
RNAcentral lists this ribosomal RNA (348 nucleotides) under uncultured bacterium. Its description in RNAcentral is "bacterial SSU rRNA". It matches the Rfam family "Bacterial small subunit ribosomal RNA", at positions 8 to 350 of the family's 1533-position model. The record is from RNAcentral.